This 497-nucleotide ribosomal RNA is filed under the name uncultured bacterium. RNAcentral describes it as "partial 16S ribosomal RNA". It matches the Rfam family "Bacterial small subunit ribosomal RNA", at positions 28 to 507 of the family's 1533-position model. The record is from RNAcentral.
GAUGAACGCUGGCGGCGUGCCUAAUACAUGCAAGUCGAGCGAACAGACGAGGAGCUUGCUCCUCUGAAGUUACCGGCGGACGGGUGAGUAACACGUGGAUAACCUACCUAUAAGACUGGGAUAACUUCGGGAAACCGGAGCUAAUACAGGAUAAUAUAUUGAACCGCAUGGUUCAAUAGUGAAAGACGGUUCUGCUGACACUUAUUGAUAGAUCCGCGCCGCAUUAGCUAGUUGGUAAGGUAACGGCUUACCAAGGCAACGAUGCGUAGCCGACCUGAGAGGAUGAUCAGCCACACUGGAACUGAGACACGGUCCAGACUCCUACGGGAGGCAGCAGUAGGGAAUCUUCCGCAAUGGGCGAAAGCUUGACGGAGCAACGCCGCGUGAGUGAUGAAGGUCUUCGGAUCGUAAAGCACUUUUAGUAGGGAAGAACAAAUGUGUAAGUAACUAUGCACGUCUUGACGGUACCUAAUGAGAAAGCCACGGCUAACUACGUG